AGCUCCAAUAGCGUAUAUUAAAGUUGCUGCAGUUAAAAAGCUCGUAGUUGGAUCUCGGGGUACCUGGUCUAGCCGGUAUAGCUCACGCUAAAACUGGUCUGACCCCCCAACGUGAGGUAUUCGUCUCCGGGUGCACUUCAUUGGGUGCUCGUGAGGGGCCUCGUAGUUACUGUGGAAAAAAUUAGAGUGUUCAAAGCAGGCUCAUAUGUUCGGAUAGUCGUGCAUGGAAUAACUGAAAACGUGACGGGGGCCUUUCAGGUGGGCUCGGGGACUGGGCAAAUGAGUAAGAGGGACUGCCCGGGGCAUUGGGAAGGCGGGGUUAGAGGUGAAAUUCUUGGAUCCUCGCCAGACCAACAAAAGCGAAAGCAUUUGCCAAGAAUGUCUUCA
RNAcentral lists this ribosomal RNA (387 nucleotides) under marine Metazoa environmental sample. RNAcentral's name for it is "SSU rRNA". It matches the Rfam family "Eukaryotic small subunit ribosomal RNA", at positions 587 to 972 of the family's 1831-position model. Lineage: Eukaryota; Metazoa. The record is from RNAcentral.